RNAcentral lists this transfer RNA (68 nucleotides) under Marmota marmota marmota (Alpine marmot). It matches the Rfam family "tRNA". Rfam says of the family: Transfer RNA (tRNA) molecules are approximately 80 nucleotides in length. Their secondary structure includes four short double-helical elements and three loops (D, anti-codon, and T loops). The record is from Rfam by way of RNAcentral. Lineage: Eukaryota; Metazoa; Chordata; Mammalia; Rodentia; Sciuridae. RNAcentral also lists the same sequence under 1 other name.
GUGGUGGCUCAGUGGUAGAGUGCUCGCAUAGCAUGCAUGAGGCACUGGGUUCAAUCCCCAGCACCACA